Long non-coding RNA from Salvia miltiorrhiza (redroot sage), 1048 nucleotides. RefSeq lists it as uncharacterized. The transcript is spliced from 3 exons. NCBI's taxonomy places the organism in Eukaryota, Viridiplantae, Streptophyta, Magnoliopsida, Lamiales, Lamiaceae. The record is from RefSeq and is a predicted model, not a curated record.
AUAUAUUUUAAAUCCAGUAAUGAGUGUUUAUUUUUGUUCAUCAGUGAAUGAAAACGGUUUUUAUCCUAAUAUGAAUUCAGCUUAUGAUCCUGAAUUUAUAUUGUUAAAGCAGUUAAUGAUAUUAUUUCAGAGUUAUAACUGACUUAGCAAAGUCACGUUAUUUAUUUAAGCGAGAUGAAAUUUGAUUUUAUUUUUACUCAGAUCGUGAAUUAUUUCCGACUCAGGAAGUUAAUUAAAUCUGCGGAUUUAAUUUAGAUAUCAGAACAACGAACGAAUUAAAUCUACGGAUUUAAUUUAGAUUCAUUUUAUAAUUUAUCGGUUUUAGUGAGAAAUCACAUGUCGAAAUACGAGAUUUAUUUAAAUAAACAGUAUCAAGCAUAUACGAGCACACGAUCCAUCUUACAGUUACAGAAUCACCGAGACAGAGAAAAUACAUCAAUAAUUCUCCUCUACAUUUUUUUUCCUUUCUUUUUCUUCUCUUUUUCUUUCCAUUAAUUUUGUUCCCCACUCCAUCAACUCCACUACCCUAUGCUCCCCACCAUCUCCACUACCUUUGCUCCCCAUCAACUCCAACACUUCACCCAUUCCUUCCAUUUCGCACCAGCAAUCACAAAGAGAAGGAAGACUUGGCUUAACUACUUUGCCAAGAUUUCAAGCUGCUCCAGUCCAGUAGUACCCCAACACUCGAAGCUAGAGUUUAUUGGGUGAAAAACCGUGCAUGAGGUCGAGCGCAAGAAUAAGAGCUCGUCAAGGAGUCACUAAUCUGUAGCAAAGCUUUGCUAUCAGGUUGAGCAGCUGCCGAUGGUGAUGAAGUGACGAGCGGGACUCUUUUGUCUUAUUAUGUAUUAAUGAACUCUAGGGUUACAUGUCUUCAUACAUGUAAUCAGAACCUUAUUCCGCUGCGUACUCAGAAGUUUUAUGUUAUUUUGGAUAAGUCGGAGUUAUCCGAACUUGUUAGUUAUUUGAGUCUAUACGACAAAAACUCUGUUAUAUUAUAGAUAUCUAUGUUGUUAACAAUGAUGAAAUACGAUCCUUUCUUGUUUGAUUA